AGGGAGUUGAUCUGGAAGGGGAUCUCAGGAAACCCUGGGAGAGGAUGGAAAACGAGACAGGGAAGGGAAGGGAGCCAAUAAACCGUGUCACAAGCAAGGUACUGCACGCUAUGAGAGGAAUUUCUCCCUGAGCUACUGUGAGAGACCAAGUAGAACAUCCCAGGUCGUCCCCCAAAGAGGGAAGACGCUGAGGUGUCCACCCUGCAGUCUCUGCCUGUGGCUGGUGGGGGCUGAUUCCGGGAUGGGAGCUCUGGCACAAGUGGUCUCUGGUGCAGAGAGCUGCCACUGCUCAGUCAGCAGUGCUCGGCGUGUGGGGCUGAGCACCCAGGACACACUCGGCCUCUGCGGCCAACGCUCUUUGCCUGGAAGGACAGCCAAGUAUCACUCCCUCACUGUUGCUCUUCAGAGUGACUCACUGGAAACAGGAUGUGGAAAACAUGCAGAAUGGCAAAGCCAAUGAUCUCAGCAGACGCCGACACUUCCACCACUCCUCACGUCCAGCGCCGUCUGGAAACUCACUGAAUGUUCACGACAACCUGAGGCCCGCAGAUCAAUUUCUGAGUCACAGAGCCUGCGUCAUCUCCCAGCACAGGUGAGUUUGAGCAGGAUGCUCAUUAAAAGAAACAACGGGGUGUAAACCUUCGUGCAGCCGACGGGAGCCCUGGGAGGACAGAUCUGCGCAGCCAGCACUCAGCGAGCAUCCAAGGCCCCCUGACGAGUCACAGGUCUGCAGGGCUGCACUUCACCCCACGGAUGAGUAGACCAGCGUCCACCCCUGCGCACGGAGCCAGGCACUGCCGCAGCCCUUCUCCCUGGCUGCCACCCUGCCUUCCCGAAGCAUCCAAUGACCGGGGUGGGGGACUCCCACAUCCCCACCCACAGAUGAAUACUCCAGCUGCACGACAUCUAGAAUAUUCCUUGAAUACCCACUAUCUGCACGUUCCAUACUAGAAGCUUGGGCUUACAAUUGUGACGAAGUCAGAGGUGUCCCUGCUUGUGGGGCACUUUCAUCCAGGGAAAGACAGAUGAUGCCAAAACAAACGAAGAAGAAGAAUACGCCCACAGUGUUCAUGCUUUGAAAAAUAAUCAUAAAACAAGUGGAUAUGUCAUUAAAAAUCACCAGGAGGAAGGAGGGUUAGAUGGGGGCGAAAGUGUCAAAGAUGUCAAAGAAAGUGUGAAACCCACAUAACGAGAGUGAGAGGUCUUGCAAAGAUCUGGGUGAGUGCCUCUCCUGCAGAGGGCAAAGCUGGUGCAAAGGCUCUGAGGUGGGAACAAACCGGGUGUGAUCAAGGAUCAGGAGGGGAUGGCAGGGACCAGCUUAGUGGACCACGUGAGGAGUUGGGGUUUUAUUCAGAAUGUGUGAUGAUGCCAUUGGAGGGGUAACAACAGAGACGCUGAUCCCCAAAGCCAGGCAUGUUCUUAUUCACUGCAGGGCAAUGUGCCCUCUUGCAGCUUGUCUCGACUCCAGCUCCUCACGUGGGGCCUGGGCUUAUUGGAAUGUAGGUGGACAGAUGAGAGGAGGGGUAAGGAGCCAAGAAGCGGGCAGGAGAGAGGGCGUGGCUCUCCAGGAAUCAUGUCAUCCCGUCCUCAUGACGGUCCUGUGUAACAGAUGAGAAAGGGGAAGCCUGCUCAGCGUUAGUGGAGGAGUCAAGUUCACGCCCACACUGGGGACUGCAAACUGCCCUGUCCUCUGCCCCCUGGGUGCAUGCCCUUUGCUACAUGGCUUUGCUGUUCCUCCCAUCAAGUGGGACUGGCCUGGGACUUGCUUUAACAGACGGAGUGAGGCAGCAGGGACAGCGUCCAGCUCUGAGCCUCGGUCUCAAGAGGCACCGUGGUCUGGCACCCUCUCCCGCCUCUGCUGCAUGAAGCCCAGGCGAGUGAGCCUGCUGGAGACACAGAGACAGGUUGGGCCAGCACAGACAGCCUGGACCAGCCAGCCCCCAGCCAACCCGACAGCAAACCAAAGACUCUGGAGGAAGCCAGCUGAGACCAGAGCCACCUAGAUGAGCCCAGCCAAACUGCCAACCUGCCGAAUCAGGAGGCUCCCAGGUGCUGCCGCUGCUGCUGGACCAGGGACCACACUUUGAGAACUGCUGUCUUGAUUGACAUUCACAACAGCCGAAUUAGGGACCAAGGAAGAAACUGAAGCAGAGAGAGCAGAAGCGGCCUGCUCAAGGCCACACAGCUAGAAACUGACAGAGGCAGGACUGGAACCCAGGCCGAGUGGAUUCCGAAACCCACCACCUGCAGGUUCCAGAGGUUAAGGUGUGGCCAUCUUCGGGGCCAUUCUGGUGACCACAGACUUGGAUGUCAUCGUCACUUAACCAAGGGGAUGCGUUCUGAGAACUGGCUCCUUAGGCAGUUUUGCCAUUCUCCUGGAGCGUUCUUACACCAACGUAGAUGGUACAGCCUACUGCCCACCUGGGCUCAAUGGUGCUCGUCUUAUGAGACCACUGUCGUAUAUGCGGCCUGUUGUUGACCAAAACGUCCUUACGUGCCCACGACUGUCCAGCAUAGCGCAGAAGGCUGAGUGCACAGCUCGACGAAUUUUUCCGUCUAUACCCACCACCACCCAGAUCAGCACAUAGAAACUUUGUAGGUCCCCAUGGGUUCCCUGUGCCCUCACGUGUCCCCCUCUUUCCCCAACCCCAACAAGGACACACUCUUCUCAACUGCGUUAACUGUCUUUGAACUAUUUAAUUAAUUUAUUUAUUUAUUUUUGCUGAGGAAGAUUCUCCCUGAGCUAAUGUCUGUGCCAAUCUUCCUCUAUUUUGUAUGUGGGAUGCCACCUCAGCAUGGCCACCAACGAGUGGUGUAGGUCCGCGCCGGGGAACCAAAACUGGACCGCUGAAGUGGAGCACGUUGAACUUAACCACUAGACCACAGGGCUGGCCCCUUGAAAUUUUUUUAAGAGAAAUCAUACACGUACAUUUCUUUGUCUCUGGUUUCUUCCACUUAAUAUUAUGCCUGUGAGAUUCACCCAUGUUACUGCACGUAGCAGUAAUUCAUGAUUUUUAUUGCUGUGUAAUAUUCCGUGGCAUGAAUAAACCAAAAUGUAUCCAUUCUACAGUUGAUAGGCAUUGGGGUUGUUAUGGGUUUGGGGCUCUUGUGAAUAGCACUGACAUGAACAUUCUUCGUUACAAAGAGUUUGAAGGUGGCUUUUAUUGACACAUGUCACACAAGCAGUGCAGUGGCCCAACAGUUAGGAACACAGGCUUUGUCUCAGAUUACUGGCAUUCUAGUCUCUGUCUAGCUGCUUACGUACUGUGUGGCCUUGGGCACAGCUUCUCUGUGUCUCAUUUUCCUCUCUUUACAAAGGAUAAUAGUAGUCCUCACCUCAAAGGAGGGUCAAUUAGUUGUCAGGACUCAGUAAAUGUUGGCUAUAAUUAUUAUGAAGCCAAGCAGUACGACAGCAUUGAAAACGGGGGAAUUAAAAGCAGGGAAGGAAGGACAAGAGUAGGAACACACGGUGGACUUGAGAAUGCGUCUUGUGCGUGCAAUACCCACGGCGAUGUCCCCCACGCUUCCAAGUGGGCAGGCAGCAGGCCCGGGGCUGCGCUGGCAAAUCACAGCCUCAGGACCCGGGGACACUUGCUUGUACCAGAGAUGGUGCAGGAUGCUCCCAGAGAAGCAGAGCGCGUCUCCUGGAACAUCCUCAUUCUGCAAAGGUUUAAGGGGAAAUGUGACUUUUGUUUUUAAACAAACACGCGAAGUUUGGAGUAGACUGCAAAGUCACUUGCAUUUCUCAGAUAAACACGAGACUUGAGAAGCAUCCAGCAUUUGCUCUCUCCUCUGCACCCCAAGCCCUGCUGGGCCACCUCUGCCUUCGGGUAGAAGAGUUGGGGGCGCCUGCUGCGUGCUUCCUCGUGGCCACUAGAGGGCAAUAUCACGAGUUCCAAGAUCCGCAGGGGCCCUUGGAAAACAGCAACAGUUGUUCCUCCUGGAGCGUGUUUCUGUUUCUGAUUUUCGCGACUGCGCCGUGGUGGUUUGAGGGCCGCGCAGGCGAGCAGGUUGUGCAGCUCCGUGCUGCACUUGCGUUACUGAUUCCCCUCCCUCUGACCGCCAACAUGCUCGGGGGCACCAUGUCCCCAAACGAGCCCACGAGAGAAAUUAGCUUGUGUUUUGUCUUGCACUGCCCCACUGUCUUGCACGCGUGGAUCCUGGAGCAGACUAUGCAGACGGGAUGGGGUCUCCUCUGCAGGGGCUGCUGGGGCCUGGGCGCCCCAGAUGCCCACCCGCUCCCACUCCACACCCAGGACGAGUAUGGGAUAGAGAGAGGAGAAAACUGAAGGGAGAGGAGGG
Molecule: long non-coding RNA, 4302 nt
Organism: Equus caballus (horse)
Lineage: Eukaryota; Metazoa; Chordata; Mammalia; Perissodactyla; Equidae
Source: Ensembl